Molecule: ribosomal RNA, 253 nt
Filed under: uncultured bacterium
Lineage: Bacteria
Description: partial 16S ribosomal RNA
Rfam family: Bacterial small subunit ribosomal RNA
Source: RNAcentral
UACGUAGGGGGCAAGCGUUGUUCGGAAUUAUUGGGCGUAAAGGGCGCGUAGGCGGUCUUGUAAGUCAGCUGUGAAAGCCCGGGGCUCAACCCCGGAGGGUCGGCUGAUACUGGAUGGCUUGAGUUCGGGAGAGGGAUGCGGAAUUCCAGGUGUAGCGGUGAAAUGCGUAGAUAUCUGGAGGAACACCGGUGGCGAAGGCGGCAUCCUGGACCGACACUGACGCUGAGGAGCGAAAGCCAGGGGAGCAAACGGG